GGGGUGGUGGCGCAGUUGGCCAGUGCGUAGGUCUCAUAAUCCUGAGGUCGAGAGUUUGAGCCUCUCUCACCCCA
RNAcentral lists this transfer RNA (74 nucleotides) under Medicago truncatula (barrel medic). RNAcentral describes it as "tRNA-Met (CAT) (tRNA-Met-CAT-5-1)". It matches the Rfam family "tRNA". Rfam says of the family: Transfer RNA (tRNA) molecules are approximately 80 nucleotides in length. Their secondary structure includes four short double-helical elements and three loops (D, anti-codon, and T loops). Further hydrogen bonds mediate the characteristic L-shaped molecular structure. tRNAs have two regions of fundamental functional importance: the anti-codon, which is responsible for specific mRNA codon recognition, and the 3' end, to which the tRNAs corresponding amino acid is attached (by aminoacyl-tRNA synthetases). tRNAs cope with the degeneracy of the genetic code in two manners: having more than one tRNA (with a specific anti-codon) for a particular amino acid; and 'wobble' base-pairing, i.e. permitting non-standard base-pairing at the 3rd anti-codon position. Lineage: Eukaryota; Viridiplantae; Streptophyta; Magnoliopsida; Fabales; Fabaceae. The record is from RNAcentral.